UACUGAUUUUCAUGGGCCACCAGACGGGC
RNAcentral lists this non-coding RNA (29 nucleotides) under Bombyx mori (domestic silkworm). The record is from RNAcentral. Lineage: Eukaryota; Metazoa; Arthropoda; Insecta; Lepidoptera; Bombycidae.